GGAGGGGCCGGGAGCGGCUCGUGGCCUGUGGCCACCAAAUAACGUUCCGGCUUUUCAGUCUCUUUCCGACUCCCACCCUCUGCUGCCCCUGCUGCACCCGCCCUCCCUGCUUUCCUCUUCCUCACACAUCCGCGUCCUCUGACUGCCCUGGGUGGGAAGGCUGCCCCCAAGCCCGGGUUGCUCCCGUCAGAGGCGAUCAAGGGCUCUUGGAGGUCCGACGCUCAGGCGGCCACUUCCCACCGGUGUGCGGGACGCCCUCUUAGGCCCCUGAGCGCUGUCCUCUCCUCCUGUUCUCAGUUCUGCCCUCUUCCCGUUUCUGGCCUCGGGAAUCAGGGGGCUUCCAGGCAGGCAGCGCUCAAGGGCCUCAGGCCUUGGAGUUGAGGGUCUCUUUCUAGUGACUGGAGCUCUAGGAAGGGCCCAAGGGCCCUGAACCACAUUUCCUACUGCUGUGGGCACCGUGGCCGAUCCUGGCUUUCACUGAGGGAAGCGACAAAAAAUGUUUUCCCAUAUUCAGAUACAGGAAACGGCACAUUGACCAGAAGUAAAGAAUCUCCAUGUUAAAAAUAAAGAUUCAAUGCCCCUCUUCUUGGGACUCCAACGCUAGUUCACCUUUGAUGAUAAGACUCCUUUCCCAGGUGCCAAGGCCACACUGUAUGUGCUGCACGUGUAUGUGCUGCAGCCCUGACUUGUUUAAUGUUCUUUGUUCUGACAAGAUAUAAAAGCCUGUGCUGUGCUGAAAACCCUGCUGGUUCAGGGCUAGUCCUUAGUUUGGCUCAAAUAAAACUCUUUUCUAUUCUUA
Lagenorhynchus albirostris (white-beaked dolphin) is the source of this 799-nucleotide long non-coding RNA. RefSeq lists it as uncharacterized. The record is from RefSeq and is a predicted model, not a curated record. The transcript is spliced from 2 exons. Lineage: Eukaryota; Metazoa; Chordata; Mammalia; Artiodactyla; Delphinidae.